This 72-nucleotide transfer RNA is filed under the name Ustilago bromivora. It matches the Rfam family "tRNA". From Rfam's summary of the family: Transfer RNA (tRNA) molecules are approximately 80 nucleotides in length. Their secondary structure includes four short double-helical elements and three loops (D, anti-codon, and T loops). Lineage: Eukaryota; Fungi; Basidiomycota; Ustilaginomycetes; Ustilaginales; Ustilaginaceae. The record is from RNAcentral.
UCCCAGUUAGUACAAUGGUUAGUAUAGGGCAUUCUCACUGCUCAGAUCAGGGUUCGAUUCCCUGGCCGGGAA